AACGUAGGACGCAAGCGUUAUCCGGAAUUACUGGGCGUAAAGCGCGUGUAGGUGGUUUGAUAAGUCACUGUUGAAAGCUCCCGGCUAAACUGGGAGAGGUGCGGUGAGACUGUCAGGCUAGAGUAUGGGAGAGGGAUGCAGAAUUCCGGGUGUAGUGGUGAAAUGCGUAGAGAUCCGGAGGAAUACCAGAGGCGAAGGCGGCAUCCUGGCCUAAAACUGACACUGAGACGCGAAAGCAUGUGGAGCGAACGGG
This 253-nucleotide ribosomal RNA is filed under the name uncultured bacterium. Its description in RNAcentral is "partial 16S ribosomal RNA". It matches the Rfam family "Bacterial small subunit ribosomal RNA", at positions 524 to 776 of the family's 1533-position model. The record is from RNAcentral.